Molecule: ribosomal RNA, 439 nt
Filed under: uncultured bacterium
Lineage: Bacteria
Description: partial 16S ribosomal RNA
Rfam family: Bacterial small subunit ribosomal RNA
Source: RNAcentral
CCUACGGGAGGCAGCAGUAGGGAAUUUUGCGCAAUGGGCGAAAGCCUGACGCAGCAACGCCGCGUGAUCGAGACGCCCUUCGGGGUGUAAAGAUCUGUCAGUUGGAACGAAACAUGACGGUACCUACAGAGGAAGCACCGGCUAACUCCGUGCCAGCAGCCGCGGUAAUACGGAGGAUGCGAGCGUUAUCCGGAUUCAUUGGGGUUAAAGGGUGCGUAGGCGGGAUGCCAAGUCAGCGGUAAAACUGGGGGGUUAAACGCCGUCGAGCCGUUGAAACUGGCGCUCUUGAGUGUGCGAGAAGUAGGCGGAAUGCGUGGUGUAGCGGUGAAAUGCAUAGAGAUCAAGAAGAACUCCGAUUGCGAAGGCAGCCUACCGGCGCACUACUGACGCUGAGGCACGAAAGCGUGGGUAUCAAACAGGAUUAGAUACCCGAGUAGUC